Molecule: transfer RNA, 69 nt
Filed under: Ictidomys tridecemlineatus (thirteen-lined ground squirrel)
Lineage: Eukaryota; Metazoa; Chordata; Mammalia; Rodentia; Sciuridae
Description: Spermophilus tridecemlineatus (thirteen-lined ground squirrel) tRNA
Rfam family: tRNA
About the family: Transfer RNA (tRNA) molecules are approximately 80 nucleotides in length. Their secondary structure includes four short double-helical elements and three loops (D, anti-codon, and T loops).
Source: Rfam by way of RNAcentral
GGGGUUGUGGCUCAAUGGUAGAGCACUCACCUAGCAUGUGCGAGACCCUGGGUUUGAUCCCCAGCACCA